UAGGGAAUCUUCGGCAAUGGGGGGAACCCUGACCGAGCAACGCCGCGUGAGUGAAGAAGGUUUUUGGAUCGUAAAGCUCUGUUGUUAAGGAAGAACGAGUGUGAGAAUGGAAAGUUCAUGCUGUGACGGUACUUAACCAGAAAGGGACGGCUAACUACGUGCCAGCAGCCGCGGUAAUACGUAGGUCCCGAGCGUUGUCCGGAUUUAUUGGGCGUAAAGCGAGCGCAGGCGGUUAGAAAAGUCUGAAGUGAAAGGCAGUGGCUCAACCAUUGUAGGCUUUGGAAACUGUUUAACUUGAGUGCAGAAGGGGAGAGUGGAAUUCCAUGUGUAGCGGUGAAAUGCGUAGAUAUAUGGAGGAACACCGGUGGCGAAAGCGGCUCUCUGGUCUGUAACUGACGCUGAGGCUCGAAAGCGUGGGGAGCGAACAGG
Molecule: ribosomal RNA, 429 nt
Filed under: Bacteroidota bacterium
Lineage: Bacteria; Pseudomonadati; Bacteroidota
Description: Bacteroidetes bacterium partial 16S ribosomal RNA
Rfam family: Bacterial small subunit ribosomal RNA
Source: RNAcentral